CGGCAGGCCUAACACAUGCAAGUCGAGGGGUAACAGGGAGCUUGCUCCGCUGACGACCGGCGCACGGGUGCGCAACGCGUAUGCAAUCUACCUCUUACUAAGGGAUAGCCCAGAGAAAUUUGGAUUAAUAUCUUAUGUGAUAUUAGACUGGCAUCGGUUUAAUAUUAAAGGUUACGGUAAGAGAUGAGCAUGCGUCUCAUUAGUUAGUUGGUAAGGUAACGGCUUACCAAGACUUCGAUGAGUAGGGGUCCUGAGAGGGAGAUCCCCCACACUGGUACUGAGACACGGACCAGACUCCUACGGGAGGCAGCAGUGAGGAAUAUUGGACAAUGGACGGAAGUCUGAUCCAGCCAUGCCGCGUGUAGGAAGACUGCCCUAUGGGUUGUAAACUACUUUUAUACAGGAAGAAUAAGAUCUACGUGUAGAUUGAUGACGGUACUGUAAGAAUAAGGACCGGCUAACUCCGUGCCAGCAGCCGCGGUAAUACGGAGGGUCCGAGCGUUAUCCGGAAUUAUUGGGUUUAAAGGGUCCGUAGGCGGGCUGUUAAGUCAGAGGUGAAAUGCUGCGGCUCAACCGUAUGCACUGCCUUUGAUACUGGCGGUCUUGAGUUAUAGUGAAGUGGCUAGAAUAAGUAGUGUAGCGGUGAAAUGCAUAGAUAUUACUUAGAAUACCGAUUGCGAAGGCAGGUCACUAACUAUACACUGACGCUGAUGGACGAAAGCGUGGGUAGCGAACAGGAUUAGAUACCCUGGUAGUCCACGCCGUAAACGAUGGAUACUAGCUGUUCGGUUUUCGGACUGAGCGGCCAAGCGAAAGUGAUAAGUAUCCC
RNAcentral lists this ribosomal RNA (829 nucleotides) under Cellulophaga sp. #10. Its description in RNAcentral is "bacterial SSU rRNA". It matches the Rfam family "Bacterial small subunit ribosomal RNA", at positions 40 to 870 of the family's 1533-position model. The record is from RNAcentral. Lineage: Bacteria; Pseudomonadati; Bacteroidota; Flavobacteriia; Flavobacteriales; Flavobacteriaceae.